This 409-nucleotide RNase P RNA is filed under the name Patescibacteria group bacterium. RNAcentral describes it as "RNase P RNA component class A". It matches the Rfam family "Bacterial RNase P class A". Rfam says of the family: Ribonuclease P (RNase P) is a ubiquitous endoribonuclease, found in archaea, bacteria and eukarya as well as chloroplasts and mitochondria. Its best characterised activity is the generation of mature 5'-ends of tRNAs by cleaving the 5'-leader elements of precursor-tRNAs. The record is from RNAcentral.
CGAGCAAAUUAGAUAGUCGCCUCGCAAUUUUGUGGGGAGGAAAGUCCGGGCGUCGAAGACCCCGUAGAAUUGCGGGGCCGCAAAUGGCAGCGGGUAAUACCCGCCGGUCGCGAGAUUAGGGAAAGCGCCACAGAGACAAUAUUUCUUUGGUUUUGGGGCAAUCUCCAAAACUGGGGUAAAGGUGAAAAGUGAGGGAUUAAGACCCCUCUCUCCACAGGGAGACCUGUCGGAGUGGCAAGCCCUGCCUGACGCAAGAGCAAACCAUUCCGCAAUAUUGCGGAAUGAUGAAAAGUAGCUCGCUUGAGGUUAGCGGCAACGCUAACCCUAGAUAGAUGACUAUCCAAGACCCUCCGUCGCCCUUUGGGCUAUGGCGGGUGAGACAGAACCCGGCUUAUUAUUUGCUCGGGUU